AUCAUUAACUGAAUCCAUAGGUUAAUGAGGCGAACCGGGGGAACUGAAACAUCUAAGUACCCCGAGGAAAAGAAAUCAACCGAGAUUCCCCCAGUAGCGGCGAGCGAACGGGGAGGAGCCCAGAGCCUGAAUCAGCAUGUGUGUUAGUGGAAGCGUCUGGAAAGGCGCGCGAUACAGGGUGACAGCCCCGUACACAAAAGCGCAUGUGCUGUGAGCUCGAUGAGUAGGGCGGGACACGUGGUAUCCUGUCUGAAUAUGGGGGGACCAUCCUCCAAGGCUAAAUACUCCUGACUGACCGAUAGUGAACCAGUACCGUGAGGGAAAGGCGAAAAGAACCCCGGCGAGGGGAGUGAAAAAGAACCUGAAACCGUGUACGUACAAGCAGUGGGAGCACAGGUUUACCUGUGUGACUGCGUACCUUUUGUAUAAUGGGUCAGCGACUUAUAUUCUGUAGCAAGGUUAACCGAAUAGGGGAGCCGGAGGGAAACCGAGUCUUAAUUGGGCGUUAAGUUGCAGGGUAUAGACCCGAAACCCGGUGAUCUAGCCAUGGGCAGGUUGAAGGUUGGGUAACACUAACUGGAGGACCGAACCGACUAAUGUUGAAAAAUUAGCGGAUGACCUGUGGCUGGGGGUGAAAGGCCAAUCAAACCGGGAGAUAGCUGGUUCUCCCCGAAAGCUAUUUAGGUAGCGCCUCGUGAAUUCAUCUCCGGGGGUAGAGCACUGUUUCGGCUAGGGGGCCAUCCCGGCUUACCAACCCGAUGCAAACUGCGAAUACCGGAGAAUGUUAUCACGGGAGACACACGGCGGGUGCUAACGUCCGUCGUGAAGAGGGAAACAACCCAGACCGCCAGCUAAGGUCCCAAAGUCAUGGUUAAGUGGGAAACGAUGUGGGAAGGCCCAGACAGCCAGGAUGUUGGCUUAGAAGCAGCCAUCAUUUAAAGAAAGCGUAAUAGCUCACUGGUCGAGUCGGCCUGCGCGGAAGAUGUAACGGGGCUAAACCAUG
RNAcentral lists this ribosomal RNA (1003 nucleotides) under Salmonella enterica subsp. enterica serovar Enteritidis. Its description in RNAcentral is "partial 23S ribosomal RNA". It matches the Rfam family "Bacterial large subunit ribosomal RNA", at positions 150 to 1191 of the family's 2925-position model. The record is from RNAcentral. Lineage: Bacteria; Pseudomonadati; Pseudomonadota; Gammaproteobacteria; Enterobacterales; Enterobacteriaceae.